GCUGGGCACAGAGGUGCACACCUUUAAUCCCAGCAACUUGGGAGGCUGAGGCAGGAGAAUUGCAAGUUCAUAGCCAGCCUCAGUGGCUUAGCGAGGCCCUAAGCAAUUUUGUGAGACUCUGUCUCAA
RNAcentral lists this small RNA (127 nucleotides) under Marmota monax (woodchuck). The record is from RNAcentral. Lineage: Eukaryota; Metazoa; Chordata; Mammalia; Rodentia; Sciuridae.